Bufo gargarizans (Asiatic toad) is the source of this 851-nucleotide long non-coding RNA. RefSeq lists it as uncharacterized. Lineage: Eukaryota; Metazoa; Chordata; Amphibia; Anura; Bufonidae. The record is from RefSeq and is a predicted model, not a curated record. The transcript is spliced from 3 exons.
CCGAGUGCCUCUCCAGGGAAGAAGAGGACGACGCCAAGAUCCUCCACGGCGUGGCAGAGUGGAGGAAACCAGGCAUCGGAGUCGGUCGCCAUUAUCGCGAUCACCGGCUGGACCCUCCCAACCAUCAGGAGUGGCCAUUGCCGGGACAAGAAGCAGGCCUACGGUUGGUGUAGCCUCCCAGAUUACAACCAAUCCGUUGGAAGGGAGAGCUUCUGUUCCUGUGCCAGCUGCUCCUGAGCCCGGCCCUAGUCAGCCAGUGCCACAGCACCAACCACCACGACAAACAAGGGUGCAGAGCAGGGUAUGCAGAAUAGCAGACCUCCAGUCUCGCCCAUUUAUCCAGGACGAUGAUAUAACAUCUUGUACCAUCUGCAUGGAGGAAUUUACCAUCGGACAGCCAGUAACACCGCUUCCCUGCUCCCAUCUAUACCAUCGUGACUGCAUAUCCCUUUGGCUCAGUUGCAACCCCAGAUGCCCCUUGUGUAGGAGCCAUUGCUUCAGAUGAAACAACAAGAAUAACAUCAAGUAGCUUGGAUUGCAGCCCAGUUUACCACCACUGACCUGACACCAUCAAGGAAGACCCUGCUCCCCGUUCCAUCUACAACCUAUGGGUCCCAGACUAGAACAACUCUAAGGAGCCGCCAAAAAUGUCCUGUUACCAUCAGCAGGACAUUCUCCACCAGAAUAGACAUCUGCAGUGCCUGCUCAUGAGGCUGAACCUCCAGUGCUGCCGGCCUUUUGUAUUUAUACGUCUUCUUGGCCAAGACGGCAGUAUCACUGGAUUUACCAUCGUUUCAGACUAUCUGACCAAUAUUCUUCAGAGCAAAUAAAACAUUUCUGCUUUUACUUCA